This 492-nucleotide ribosomal RNA is filed under the name uncultured bacterium. RNAcentral's name for it is "partial 16S ribosomal RNA". It matches the Rfam family "Bacterial small subunit ribosomal RNA", at positions 29 to 507 of the family's 1533-position model. The record is from RNAcentral.
AGUGAACGCUGGCGGUAGGCCUAACACAUGCAAGUCGAACGGCAGCACAGUAAGAGCUUGCUCUUACGGGUGGCGAGUGGCGGACGGGUGAGGAAUACAUCGGAAUCUACUUUUUCGUGGGGGAUAACGUAGGGAAACUUACGCUAAUACCGCAUACGACCUACGGGUGAAAGCAGGGGAUCUUCGGACCUUGCGCGAUUGAAUGAGCCGAUGUCGGAUUAGCUAGUUGGCGGGGUAAAGGCCCACCAAGGCGACGAGCCGUAGCUGGGCUGAGAGGGUGGUCAGCCACACUGGAACUGAGACACGGUCCAGACGCCUACGGGAGGCAGCAGUGGGGAAUAUUGGACAAUGGGCGCAAGCCUGAUCCAGCCAUACCGCGUGGGUGAAGAAGGCCUUCGGGUUGUAAAGCCCUUUUGUUGGGAAAGAAAAGCAGCAGGUUAAUACCCCGCUGUUCUGACGGUACCCAAAGAAUAAGCACCGGCUAACUUCGUG